This 343-nucleotide transfer-messenger RNA is filed under the name Siminovitchia fortis. RNAcentral describes it as "Bacillus fortis transfer-messenger RNA". It matches the Rfam family "transfer-messenger RNA". From Rfam's summary of the family: Bacterial tmRNA, also known as 10Sa RNA or SsrA, is named for its dual tRNA and mRNA-like properties. The record is from Rfam by way of RNAcentral. Lineage: Bacteria; Bacillati; Bacillota; Bacilli; Caryophanales; Bacillaceae.
UUUGGAUUCGACAGGGAUAGGUCGAGCUCAAGUUGCGAGUCGAGGGGAUCGUCCUCGUAAAAACGUCAAAGCCAAUAAUAACUGGCAAAUCUAACGAUAACCUCGCUUUAGCUGCCUAAUUAAGGCCUAAUGCGGAUCCUCCCUCCAUCGCCCAUGUGGUAGGGUAAGGGUCUCACUUUCAGUGGGCUACGCCGGACGUCCUCCGCCUGGGGACCAUGGAAGAGACCAAUCAGGCUAGCGCUUCGGAAGCCCGUCGAUAGGCUGAAGAAGACGCGAAACGCCAAUAUAUCGACUACACUCGUAGAUGCUUGAGUGCCGAUAUUCUUGGACGUGGGUUCGAUUA